AUCCUGGCUCAGGAUGAACGCUAGCUACAGGCUUAACACAUGCAAGUCGAGGGGCAGCAUCGCGAUAGCUUGCUAUUGCGGAUGGCGACCGGCGCACGGGUGAGUAACGCGUAUCCAACCUGCCCACCACUUGGGGAUAACCUUGCGAAAGUAAGACUAAUACCCAAUGACGUCUCUAGAAGACAUCUGAAAGGGAUUUAAAAGAUUUUAUCGGUGAUGGAUGGGGAUGCGUCUGAUUAGCUUGUUGGCGGGGUAACGGCCCACCAAGGCAACGAUCAGUAGGGGUUCUGAGAGGAAGGUCCCCCACAUUGGAACUGAGACACGGUCCAAACUCCUACGGGAGGCAGCAGUGAGGAAUAUUGGUCAAUGGGCGAGAGCCUGAACCAGCCAAGUAGCGUGCAGGACGACGGCCCUAUGGGUUGUAAACUGCUUUUAUAAGGGAAUAAAGUGGGUCUCGUGAGACUUUUUGCAUGUACCUUAUGAAUAAGGACCGGCUAAUUCCGUG
This 505-nucleotide ribosomal RNA is filed under the name uncultured bacterium. Its description in RNAcentral is "bacterial SSU rRNA". It matches the Rfam family "Bacterial small subunit ribosomal RNA", at positions 16 to 507 of the family's 1533-position model. The record is from RNAcentral.